GACCCCAAAUCCAGGUACUUGCAACCCGAACUCGGUUCUCCACGAUACCAUUUCUUUAAGCUGAAUAAUACUAAAUAAUAAUACAUUCGAACUUAAUUUACAUACAUCAAAGUUUACUUCCCCAGGUACGUGACCUUCAAAUACAUUCCUUACAAUACCUGACAAUAGAUUCCAUUGUCUUACUAACUAUAACCAUUAACUCAUAAUAUAAACUCAUUCGAAC
This 223-nucleotide long non-coding RNA is filed under the name Panax ginseng (ginseng). Its description in RNAcentral is "long non-coding RNA (PGIN_LNC006231)". Lineage: Eukaryota; Viridiplantae; Streptophyta; Magnoliopsida; Apiales; Araliaceae. The record is from RNAcentral.